AUUGAACGCUGGCGGCAGGCCUAACACAUGCAAGUCGAGCGGAUGAAGGGAGCUUGCUCCUGGAUUCAGCGGCGGACGGGUGAGUAAUGCCUAGGAAUCUGCCUGGUAGUGGGGGAUAACGUCCGGAAACGGGCGCUAAUACCGCAUACGUCCUGAGGGAGAAAGUGGGGGAUCUUCGGACCUCACGCCAUCAGAUGAGCCUAGGUCGGAUUAGCUAGUUGGUGGGGUAAAGGCCUACCAAGGCGACGAUCCGUAACUGGUCUGAGAGGAUGAUCAGUCACACUGGAACUGAGACACGGUCCAGACUCCUACGGGAGGCAGCAGUGGGGAAUAUUUGACAAUGGGCGAAAGCCUGAUCCAGCCAUGCCGCGUGUGUGAAGAAGGUCUUCGGAUUGUAAAGCACUUUAAGUUGGGAGGAAGGGCAGUAAGUUAAUACCUUGCUGUUUUGACGUUACCAACAGAAUAAGCACCGGCUAACUUCGUG
Molecule: ribosomal RNA, 484 nt
Filed under: uncultured bacterium
Lineage: Bacteria
Description: partial 16S ribosomal RNA
Rfam family: Bacterial small subunit ribosomal RNA
Source: RNAcentral